RNAcentral lists this ribosomal RNA (258 nucleotides) under uncultured bacterium. Its description in RNAcentral is "partial 16S ribosomal RNA". It matches the Rfam family "Bacterial small subunit ribosomal RNA", at positions 524 to 778 of the family's 1533-position model. The record is from RNAcentral.
UACAGAGGUCUCAAGCGUUUGUUCGGAUUCAUUGGGCGUAAAGGGUGUGUAGGUGGCGCGCUAAGUCGGGUGUGAAAUUUCGGAGCUUAACUCCGAAACUGCAUUCGAUACUGGCGUGCUUGAGGACUGGAGAGGAGACUGGAAUUUACGGUGUGGCAGUGAAAUGCGUAGAUAUCGUAAGGAAGACCAGUGGCGAAGGCGGGUCUCUGGGACAGUUCCUGACACUGAGACACGAAGGCCAGGGGGAGCAAAACGGGG